Molecule: ribosomal RNA, 385 nt
Filed under: Streptomyces albus
Lineage: Bacteria; Bacillati; Actinomycetota; Actinomycetes; Kitasatosporales; Streptomycetaceae
Description: partial 23S ribosomal RNA
Rfam family: Bacterial large subunit ribosomal RNA
Source: RNAcentral
AUCCUGGGGCUGGAGUCGGUCCCAAGGGUUGGGCUGUUCGCCCAUUAAAGCGGUACGCGAGCUGGGUUUAGAACGUCGUGAGACAGUUCGGUCCCUAUCCGCUGCGCGCGUUGGAGUCUUGAGAAGGGCUGUCCCUAGUACGAGAGGACCGGGACGGACGGACCUCUGGUGUGCCAGUUGUUCUGCCAAGGGCAUGGCUGGUUGGCUACGUUCGGGAAGGAUAACCGCUGAAAGCAUCUAAGCGGGAAGCCUGCUUCGAGAUGAGGACUCCCGCCCCCUUUGAGGGGUUAAGGCUCCCUGGAGAUGACGGGGUUGAUAGGCCGGAUCUGGAAGCACGGUAACGUGUGGAGGUGACCGGUACUAAUAGGCCGAGGGCUUGUCCGUA